GAACAGCUGUACAUGAAAAAGCACUAUUUAUUCGUAAACAUAAAAUUAAUAACCAGUGUUUUUUUCUUAGUAAUUUCAUUGGAUAUCAUAUAAGUUUGGAGUACAUACUUGCAACGUUUAAAUUUACACUGGUACUCAUUAAACAUUUUAGGGAUCAAUCAUAAUUAGUAAAUAUCUUUUUUGUAAUAAGCUUUCUAGAGUAAAUUAUUCUCUGUUUUCAACUGUUUUGUUUUUCCUUCUCUUUACAUAAAAGAAAUGGUAAAGAUUAAACUGAUUUAUAAAUUAUGGUAAACUCAAAACAUUUUUUACUUAUUACGCUUAAAUUAUUUAUCAGUCAAAGUCAUUGUAUACAUUGACGUUGUCCCUUUCCACAAACAUAAAGAUAUGUGAACUUAACGAAGUGGAUCGUUCAAUGGCUAGGGUUUUGGGCGACAAAGUAGGCAAUUUUCAGAUACAAAAAUUCUGACGGCGCUC
This 474-nucleotide long non-coding RNA is filed under the name Brassica napus (rape). Its description in RNAcentral is "long non-coding RNA (BNAP_LNC001685)". The record is from RNAcentral. Lineage: Eukaryota; Viridiplantae; Streptophyta; Magnoliopsida; Brassicales; Brassicaceae.